GAUCAUGGCUCAGGAUGAACGCUAGCUACAGGCUUAACACGUGCAAGUCGAGGGGCAGCAUGGUCUUAGCUUGCUAAGGCCGAUGGCGACCGGCGCACGGGUGAGUAACACGUAUCCAACCUGCCGUCUACUCUUGGACAGCCUUCUGAAAGGAAGAUUAAUACAAGAUGGCAUCAUGAGUCCGCAUGUUCACAUGAUUAAAGGUAUUCCGGUGGACGAUGGGGA
This 225-nucleotide ribosomal RNA is filed under the name uncultured bacterium. Its description in RNAcentral is "partial 16S ribosomal RNA". It matches the Rfam family "Bacterial small subunit ribosomal RNA", at positions 15 to 231 of the family's 1533-position model. The record is from RNAcentral.